UGGGGAAUAUUGGACAAUGGGCGAAAGCCUGAUCCAGCCAUGCCGCGUGUGUGAAGAAGGUCUUCGGAUUGUAAAGCACUUUAAGUUGGGAGGAAGGGCAUUAACCUAAUACGUUAGUGUUUUGACGUUACCGACAGAAUAAGCACCGGCUAACUCUGUGCCAGCAGCCGCGGUAAUACAGAGGGUGCAAGCGUUAAUCGGAAUUACUGGGCGUAAAGCGCGCGUAGGUGGUUUGUUAAGUUGGAUGUGAAAUCCCCGGGCUCAACCUGGGAACUGCAUUCAAAACUGACUGACUAGAGUAUGGUAGAGGGUGGUGGAAUUUCCUGUGUAGCGGUGAAAUGCAUAGAGAUAGGAAGGAACACCAGUGGCGAAGGCGACCACCUGGACUAAUACUGACACUGAGGUGCGAAAGCGUGGGGAGCAAACA
Molecule: ribosomal RNA, 427 nt
Filed under: uncultured bacterium
Lineage: Bacteria
Description: partial 16S ribosomal RNA
Rfam family: Bacterial small subunit ribosomal RNA
Source: RNAcentral